This 266-nucleotide ribosomal RNA is filed under the name uncultured prokaryote. RNAcentral describes it as "partial 16S ribosomal RNA". It matches the Rfam family "Bacterial small subunit ribosomal RNA", at positions 524 to 790 of the family's 1533-position model. The record is from RNAcentral.
CACGUAGGAGGCAGACGUUAUCCGGAUUUACUGGGCGUAAAGCGCGUGUAGGUGGUUCUGUAAGUAGGGCGUGAAAGCUCCCGGCUCAACUGGGAGAUGCCGUUCUAAACUGCAGAGCUAGAGGAUGGUAGAGGGAGGUGGAAUUCCAGGUGUAGCGGUGGAAUGCGCAGAUAUCUGGAGGAACACCAGUGGCGAAGGCGGCCUCCUGGACCAUUCCUGACACUCAGACGCGAAAGCUAGGGUAGCAAACGGGAUUAGAUACCCGU